UACGUAGGGUGCAAGCGUUGUCCGGAAUUAUUGGGCGUAAAGAGCUCGUAGGCGGUUUGUCGCGUCUGCUGUGAAAACUCGGGGCUUAACCCCGGGCCUGCAGUGGGUACGGGCAGACUAGAGUGCGGUAGGGGAGACUGGAAUUCCUGGUGUAGCGGUGAAAUGCGCAGAUAUCAGGAGGAACACCGGUGGCGAAGGCGGCAUCCUGGACCAAUUCUGACGCUGAGCGAGCGAAAGCCUGGGGAGCAAACGGG
This 254-nucleotide ribosomal RNA is filed under the name uncultured bacterium. RNAcentral's name for it is "partial 16S ribosomal RNA". It matches the Rfam family "Bacterial small subunit ribosomal RNA", at positions 524 to 776 of the family's 1533-position model. The record is from RNAcentral.